Molecule: ribosomal RNA, 441 nt
Filed under: uncultured bacterium
Lineage: Bacteria
Description: partial 16S ribosomal RNA
Rfam family: Bacterial small subunit ribosomal RNA
Source: RNAcentral
ACUACGGGUGGCAGCAGUGGGGGAUAUUGCACAAUGGGGGGAACCCUGAUGCAGCGACGCCGCGUGGGUGAAGGAGUGCUUCGGCAUGUAAAGCCCUAUCGGCAGGGAAGAAGCAAGACGGUACCUGACUAAGAAGCCCCGGCUAACUACGUGCCAGCAGCCGCGGUAAUACGUAGGGGGCGAGCGUUAUCCGGAUUCACUGGGUGUAAAGGGAGCGUAGACGGCCAUACAAGCCCAGGGUGAAAGCCCGGGGGGCAACCCCGGGACUGCCCUUGGAACUGCAUGGCUGGAGUGCGGGAGGGGCAGGCGGAAUUCCUGGUGUAGCGGUGAAAUGCGGAGAUAUCAGGAGGAACACCGGCGGCGAAGGCGGCCUGCUGGACCGCGACUGACGUUGAGGCUCGAGAGCGUGGGGAGCGAACAGGAUUAGAUACCCGGGUAGUC